GAUUAAGUUAUUAAGGGCGCACGGUGGAUGCCUUGGCACUAGAAGCCGAUGAAGGACGUUACUAACGACGAUAUGCUUUGGGGAGCUGUAAGUAAGCUUUGAUCCAGAGAUUUCCGAAUGGGGAAACCCAGCAUGAGUUAUGUCAUGUUAUCGAUAUGUGAAUACAUAGCAUAUCAGAAGGCACACCCGGAGAACUGAAACAUCUUAGUACCCGGAGGAAGAGAAAGAAAAUUCGAUUCCCUUAGUAGCGGCGAGCGAAAUGGGAAGAGCCCAAACCAACAAGCUUGCUUGUUGGGGUUGUAGGACACUCUAUACGGAGUUACAAAGGACGACAUUAGACGAAUCAUCUGGAAAGAUGAAUCAAAGAAGGUAAUAAUCCUGUAGUCGAAAAUGUUGUCUCUCUUGAGUGGAUCCUGAGUACGACGGAGCACGUGAAAUUCCGUCGGAAUCUGGGAGGACCAUCUCCUAAGGCUAAAUACUCUCUAGUGACCGAUAGUGAACCAGUACCGUGAGGGAAAGGUGAAAAGCACCCCGGAAGGGGAGUGAAAUAGAACCUGAAACCGUGUGCUUACAAGUAGUCAGAGCCCGUUAAUGGGUGAUGGCGUGCCUUUUGUAGAAUGAACCGGCGAGUUACGAUUUGAUGCAAGGUUAAGCAGUAAAUGUGGAGCCGUAGCGAAAGCGAGUCUGAAUAGGGCGUUUAGUAUUUGGUCGUAGACCCGAAACCAGGUGAUCUACCCUUGGUCAGGUUGAAGUUCAGGUAACACUGAAUGGAGGACCGAACCGACUUACGUUGAAAAGUGAGCGGAUGAACUGAGGGUAGCGGAGAAAUUCCAAUCGAACCUGGAGAUAGCUGGUUCUCUCCGAAAUAGCUUUAGGGCUAGCCUCAAGUGAUGAUUAUUGGAGGUAGAGCACUGUUUGGACGAGGGGCCCCUCUCGGGUUACCGAAUUCAGACAAACUCCGAAUGCCAAUUAAUUUAACUUGGGAGUCAGAACAUGGGUGAUAAGGUCCGUGUUCGAAAGGGAAACAGCCCAGACCACCAGCUAAGGUCCCAAAAUAUAUGUUAAGUGGAAAAGGAUGUGGCGUUGCCCAGACAACUAGGAUGUUGGCUUAGAAGCAGCCAUCAUUUAAAGAGUGCGUAAUAGCUCACUAGUCGAGUGACACUGCGCCGAAAAUGUACCGGGGCUAAACAUAUUACCGAAGCUGUGGAUUGUCCUUUGGACAAUGGUAGGAGAGCGUUCUAAGGGCGUUGAAGCAUGAUCGUAAGGACAUGUGGAGCGCUUAGAAGUGAGAAUGCCGGUGUGAGUAGCGAAAGACGGGUGAGAAUCCCGUCCACCGAUUGACUAAGGUUUCCAGAGGAAGGCUCGUCCGCUCUGGGUUAGUCGGGUCCUAAGCUGAGGCCGACAGGCGUAGGCGAUGGAUAACAGGUUGAUAUUCCUGUACCACCUAUAAUCGUUUUAAUCGAUGG
Molecule: ribosomal RNA, 1466 nt
Filed under: Staphylococcus aureus
Lineage: Bacteria; Bacillati; Bacillota; Bacilli; Caryophanales; Staphylococcaceae
Description: partial 23S ribosomal RNA
Rfam family: Bacterial large subunit ribosomal RNA
Source: RNAcentral